Molecule: Y RNA, 102 nt
Filed under: Carlito syrichta (Philippine tarsier)
Lineage: Eukaryota; Metazoa; Chordata; Mammalia; Primates; Tarsiidae
Description: Y RNA (ENSTSYG00000028406.1)
Rfam family: Y RNA
About the family: Y RNAs are components of the Ro ribonucleoprotein particle (Ro RNP), in association with Ro60 and La proteins. The Y RNAs and Ro60 and La proteins are well conserved, but the function of the Ro RNP is not known. In humans the RNA component can be one of four small RNAs -- hY1, hY3, hY4 and hY5.
Source: Rfam by way of RNAcentral
GGCUGGUCUCAGUGCAGUGGCAUUUUCAAUUAACCGAUCACAACCAGUUACAGAUUUCUUCAUUCCUUUUCCACUCCCAUUGUUUAACUUGACUAGCCUUAA